This 482-nucleotide ribosomal RNA is filed under the name uncultured bacterium. RNAcentral describes it as "bacterial SSU rRNA". It matches the Rfam family "Bacterial small subunit ribosomal RNA", at positions 8 to 502 of the family's 1533-position model. The record is from RNAcentral.
AGAGUUAGAUCCUGGCUCAGAUUGAACGCUGGCGGCGUGCUUAACACAUGCAAGUCGAACGAGAACGGGUUAUAGCUUGCUAUAAUUGUCAGCUAAGUGGCGCACGGGUGAGUAAUAUAUAGGUAACAUGCCUUCGAGAAGGGGAUAACGUUUGGAAACGAACGCUAAUACCCUAUAUGCCUUUAAGUCUUAAGACUGCAAGGGAAAUAUUUAUAGCUCGAAGAUUGGCCUGUACGGUAUCAGCUUGUUGGUGAGGUAAUGGCUCACCAAGGCUAUGUCAUCUAACUGGUUUGAGAGGAUGAUCAGUCACACUGGAACUGAGACACGGUCCAGACUCCUACGGGAGGCAGCAGUGGGGAAUAUUGCACAAUGGACGAAAGUCUGAUGCAGCAACGCCGCGUGGAGGAUGACACAUUUCGGUGCGUAAACUCCUUUUAUAUGGGAAGAUAAUGACGGUACCAUAUGAAUAAGCACCGCUAACU